GUAUAAAAAAUAGUAAUUCAAACUGGAACACUGUCAUUGCUGCACUUAUGUAUUCAAAAUGCAACCAUAGUACUGCCAUUAACACUCAUGUUCUUUACUGAGUUGGUGUGAAAACUCUACCGCAAAUCAUCUGUGAGAUAACAGAGCAACAAUUAUGUCCCCAUUUUACAGAUAAAGACAUUCAAGACCAUAGAAGAAUAGCAGCUGUAUUAGAUGAUUCCAGAGAACACCAUUCAUAUCGUAGCCAUCAAGUGACUUACUUAAGACACUAACAGCGCUGGAAUAAUAGGACUGAAUCUUGGUAAAGCUUUAGCACAAGAACAUGGGCAUUACAGUCAGACGGGCAUUUAUAAGCUGAAUAACCUUGGUCGUCAUGUUUGUCAUCACUAUCAUCGUGUAUUUUCCUUGUGCCUCAGUUUCCUAAUCAGCAAAAUGGAAUAACAGUAAUUGUUUCACACAUUUGUUGGGAGGAUUAAUGAGGUAUGUAUGCAAAGCACUUAGCACAAAGUAUUUAAUAAAUAGUUCCAGUUACAUAAAUAAUAUUAUUUAGAACCCAUGAAUUUGGAUUUCUAGAUUAGAACUCCUAAUACAUUAUGCUUCUCAUGCUUUUAACAUCUAAUAAUUCCAUAUAGAUAUAUCUGUUAAACAGAUAUGUAUGAACAUAUGCAGACACACUCUUUCACACACAUGUACACACACAAAUAGUAAACUUAAAUUCACAUGUAUGUUACUUUUAUAAAAAAAUUAAGAGAGUUUGCUUAGUUGGUAUUUGCAUAGUAACCAUGGUUAAAGAAUUAAAAAUUUGCUGUUGCAGUAGCUUAAAUAUUAUUUCAGUUCUUGGAGUGGCUAAUUGUAGGUUAUGUAAGUUCCUAUGAUUAAAUUGCAUCAAAAACAAAAUAUGUAAUGAAUGCCUGAAUUAGUAUGUUGAGAACAUUUCUUUUCAGGAAUAUGUGACAAUGAGUUUUAGCUUUGAUUAGAAAACUUCUUCAAGUUGAAUGUACCUAAGCUAAAGAUAGUUAAUGAUAAUAAAAUUAAUUGUAAAAGUUAACUUCCAAUAGGGGGAAAAAAAAAGAAUAAUUCUAGGAGCAGGGGGAAAGAGGAAGUUUCAUCUUUUAAAUGUGGCUCUUAGCUUUGGUAAUGUGAUUUUUCAAUGGAUGAUCUCUUUCAAAGGAAGUUCAAUCAGAUGAAAAAGCACCAAAGAUGUACAUGAUUACAAAGUAUCAGCAGCCUAAUCCAUCAAAGUGUGUUUGGGAUAUUUCUAAUACGCCCAUAAAUAAAUUCUUUCCAGAUUUUGCACACUCUUCCUACUCACUGAAGGGCAGAACAUGUGUCAUUCAUUUGAUUUUCCUUUAUGCAUAUCUUCCUUCGCUCAGCCAACAUGUAUUUAUUGAGGAAAUACUAAUAACAACACGCACCCCUUGCUGAAACAGCUAUGUUCUUGCAGGUCAGGUGCGGUGCUCACCUCUGUCAUCCCAGCACUUUGGGAGGCAGAUGUGGGAGGGUAGCUUAAGCCCAGGAAUUCGAGACCACACUGGGCAGCACAGUGAAACCCUGUCUCUACAAAAAAAAAAAAAAAAAAAA
RNAcentral lists this long non-coding RNA (1581 nucleotides) under Macaca fascicularis (crab-eating macaque). Its description in RNAcentral is "lncRNA (ENSMFAG00000052008.1)". The record is from RNAcentral. Lineage: Eukaryota; Metazoa; Chordata; Mammalia; Primates; Cercopithecidae.